Molecule: ribosomal RNA, 445 nt
Filed under: uncultured bacterium
Lineage: Bacteria
Description: partial 16S ribosomal RNA
Rfam family: Bacterial small subunit ribosomal RNA
Source: RNAcentral
CCAGACUCCUACGGGAGGCAGCAGUCGGGAAUAUUGCGCAAUGGAGGAAACUCUGACGCAGUGACGCCGCGUGCAGGAAGAAGGUUUUCGGAUUGUAAACUGCUUUAGACAGGGAAGAAAAAAGACAGUACCUGUAGAAUAAGCUCCGGCUAACUACGUGCCAGCAGCCGCGGUAAUACGUAGGGAGCAAGCGUUAUCCGGAUUUAUUGGGUGUAAAGGGGGCGUAGACGGGAAAACAAGUUAGUUGUGAAAUCCCUCAGCUUAACUGAGGAACUGCAACUAAAACUAUUUUUCUUGAGUGCUGGAGAGGAAAGUGGAAUUCCUAGUGUAGCGGUGAAAUGCGUAGAUAUUAGGAGGAACACCAGUGGCGAAGGCGACUUUCUGGACAGUAACUGACGUUGAGGCACGAAAGUGUGGGGAGCAAACAGGAUUAGAUACCCCUGUA